RNAcentral lists this transfer RNA (65 nucleotides) under Heleodromia immaculata. RNAcentral's name for it is "tRNA-Pro". The record is from RNAcentral. Lineage: Eukaryota; Metazoa; Arthropoda; Insecta; Diptera; Empididae.
CAAAAGGUAGUUUAAAUAAAAUACUAAUUUUGGGGAUUAGUGAAAAAGAUAUUCUUUUCUUUUGA